This 886-nucleotide long non-coding RNA is filed under the name Apteryx owenii (little spotted kiwi). RNAcentral's name for it is "lncRNA (ENSAOWG00000010390.1)". The record is from RNAcentral. Lineage: Eukaryota; Metazoa; Chordata; Aves; Apterygiformes; Apterygidae.
UCUGUGCCUACUAUUUAUCUUUUGGUUCUAAAGAAAAAGAACUUGCCAGCCCUGGAAACUGAAGCUUAUUAACACAGUUUAAGGUGACCCACCUUUGUCUUCGGCCUUACCACCAUUUGGAGGGGAAGGAAGGAUAUCAAAUGAUAUCAGUGCAAAAUGUGGUGGUGGUGGUGGAGGAAUGGAGGAAAGCAAUAUGCAAGACAAUAUCGCUUCAUGCACAUUAUUUCUCAUGGGAUCAAAGCUCCUGUCUGAAUGGCCUCCAUAAACAAAGUGGGAAAACUUCAGUGGUUCUGAAGAACUGUUUUCUGCACCACAUGAGCUAGGUGGCUGUCUCAGGUCUCCUGCGUAUAGUGCUUUGAAAGGAAAGGCUGAAAUAGUCAUUCAGGGCAUCUGACUAUUUGAAUUUUUUUGAGUGCUUUGCAAAGCAGCCACAGGUAUUAGGGCAUUUCUUUUGUUUUUCCAAAAUCCGUAUAAUAGGUGUUCUGAUUGAAAUGUACCUAUUUGAUACUAUCUUAAUGUGCAUAUCAAAUUCUUAACUGUCAUCUCAUGGGCUUUGAGGAAUAAUGUGUCACAAAUACUUUAUGGUUGCUGUUACUUUCUUAUUCAUAUAUGGAAUUGUCACGGAAUGUAAUGCUGGUCUUUCUGAGGCCAUAUAAUUUCCAUUCAUAAAUCCAGUGUAUCUGCUGGACCUGCUGACCUCAGUUAAUACUUUAGAAGUAUUCCAGUUUUUCUUGUCCAGUGUUCCAUAUUAGAAGAAGGUCUAUAGGUGUCUUGAUUCAAGCGGAAGUCUGUGGAAACUGGUUCAGUGGAGGGCUCUAUGCAUUCUACAGAAGUUAAAUUUAACUUUUGUAUAUAUAAUGGGUUUUUCUAACUGAUGAUUUUACUC